Molecule: long non-coding RNA, 501 nt
Organism: Scylla paramamosain (green mud crab)
Lineage: Eukaryota; Metazoa; Arthropoda; Malacostraca; Decapoda; Portunidae
Exons: 3
Source: RefSeq, a predicted model, not a curated record
AUAUAACACGGAACUAGAAAACUGGUGGAGGGAGGGAGCGCUGGUGGAGGGAGGGGAGAGGAAGGGAGUGGAGGGUGCAGAGUGUCAGGAAGAGGAAGAGCGAGGGUGUUGCAGGGAAAGUACUGGUCUGUGCUGCGUGUGGGAAGUGACUUUAGUGGCGGCGUGAAGGCGAGGACACGAGUGAGGUGCUGGCAGGCUGACUGAGCGCAAUGGACCAACACGAAUAGCUGGAGGUCGGGGGACAGGCGCGCGCGAAGGCAGACGGCGACAGAUUCGUGACUCAAAACAAAAGCAUCGUGACAGCACAAGUGGGAGCGUCCGUCAUUCUUCACUGCAAGACCUCAAGUGCGACUGGCGGCCUGGUGUCUUGGAUCAGGAAGAGGGACUACCAGCUCCUGACGGUGAUUCUGUACACACACUCCAGUGACGACCGCUUCUCCAUCAACUACUUGCAAUGGGUGAGUGUUUGCUCUCGUGUGUGUGUGUGUGUGUGUGUGUGUG